Non-coding RNA from Macaca mulatta (Rhesus monkey), 1325 nucleotides. Lineage: Eukaryota; Metazoa; Chordata; Mammalia; Primates; Cercopithecidae. The record is from RefSeq and is a predicted model, not a curated record.
CGGCCACGUGGACACUGCUGGGCUCUGCAUCGCAUUUGCCUAUCACCAGAUCCCUCCGGCCAAACUCGUCUUUCUCCAGCCAGAACUCCACAACGAUGCUCAUGUGUGCACACAUCUUUAUGAUGUUGUUAUCGAAGGGCCUGCAGAUGAGAAAGGAGGAGGAGGAAGGGCAAGGGGAGGAGGUAGAGAAAGAGUAGAAAUCUCCGUGUUGGCAAAGAUGGGCACUGUCCACUGUCAGGGCUUCCCCUGGCACUCUGAGUCCUUUCAACAAACUAGGCCCAGUUAAAUCCCGAAGUCAGUGAUUAAAGAGAAAACAGCUGUAGCCAGAGUAACUUUGAAAAUCCCUUAAAUAGGCCUUUGGAAAUUCAAACGUUGAGAGCUAAUCUCUGUUUCAAAAAUCUUUCCCAUUUAGCUGCAUCCUCCCUUUCUUGGGGGCAGUGGAUGUCAAAGGAUAGUUUGAACAGGAGGAUGGUGAGCAGGGGCGAUGAGAUGAUUACAGCAGUUCUCCCUUUCUCUUUUUAUCAAGCCCAGUUGUUGUGAACUCUCAUAGGUUUGAAUGAGCAAAUGACUUCCUUCCACUGACUAAUGAUUGUAAUCCACAUUUCAGGUGAAGAAACCAAGGCUCAGAGAGGCGAAGUGACUUGCCCAAGGUCACACAGCAAGUGGCUUUGGAAGCCAGGAUUUGAAUUUAGGUUGGGAUCAGAAAGAUCUGGAUUUCCCAGGUUCCCUGCAAGGAGGGCUAGCACCUCUCAGAUGCUGCUUCUGUAUGACUCACGGUCUCAAUUCAAGGUCAAAUUCAAGCGAGAUGUUUGCCGAGAACCACUCCUUAUGGAAUGACAUCUGGAUCCCACCAUAGUCCAGCUGCAUGUUGGUGAUGUUGAUGCUGCACAAGGAAAGAGCAGAGGCCCCGCAAGGGUGAGGGACCUCAGAACAGAAAGAAGCAAGACAGCCUAUAGUGCCAAUGGCCAUGGGUUGCCAUUUUCUUACCACACUGGGAACCAGCAUGAGGAUAAAACCAUGAUGAUAGCAGAGCUGAAAAAUAGACAAAAUCUAGUCUGGAGGUAAGCUUUGAACUCAUGACUGAACCAAACCUGGAGCUUGUCCUACCUCUGACUUUCAGUUAUGUAAAAUGACAACUUUUUAAAUUGUGUAAGCCAGGUUGAGUUGGGUUUUCUGUUGCCUGCUGCUAAGUACUCUAACUGAUAAUAUAAUUUCACUUCUUGACCCUACCUGAGAUCAGGCCCUUCGCCGAGAACUCUGGGUUACUGCAGAGAAGCUGCUACUGGUCAUAGCAAUAAACAUAUGCACAGUCAAAGCACUUUUCA